GAUGAAGAACGUAGCGAAAUGCGAUAAGUAAUGUGAAUUGCAGAAUUCAGUGAAUCAUCGAAUCUUUGAACGCACAUUGCGCCCGCCAGCAUUCUGGCGGGCAUGCCUGUUCGAGCGUCAUUUCAACCCUCGAGCCCCCCCGGGGGCCUCGGUGUUGUGGGACGGCACACCAGCCGCCCCCGAAAUGCAGUGGCGACCUCGCCGCAGCCUCCCCUGCGUAGUAGCACACACCUCGCACCGGAGCGCGGAGACGGUCACGCCGUAAAACGCCCAACUUCUUAGAGUUGACCUCGGAUCAGGUAGGAAUACCCGCUGAACUUAAGCAUAUCAAUAAGCGGAGGA
Molecule: unclassified non-coding RNA, 342 nt
Filed under: soil metagenome
Description: partial contains 5.8S ribosomal RNA, internal transcribed spacer 2, and large subunit ribosomal RNA
Rfam family: 5.8S ribosomal RNA (bases 1-120)
Source: RNAcentral